AUACGGAGGGUCCGAGCGUUAUCCGGAUUUAUUGGGUUUAAAGGGUGCGUAGGCGGAAUAAUAAGUCAGUUGUGAAAGUUUGCGGCUCAACCGUAAAAUUGCAGUUGAUACUGUUAUUCCUGAGUGUACAUAAGGUAGGCGGAAUUCGUGGUGUAGCGGUGAAAUGCUUAGAGAUCACACAGAAUAUCGAUUGCGAAGGCAGCUUACUAAGCUACAACUGACACUGAAGCACGAAAGCGUGGGGAUC
This 247-nucleotide ribosomal RNA is filed under the name uncultured bacterium. RNAcentral describes it as "partial 16S ribosomal RNA". It matches the Rfam family "Bacterial small subunit ribosomal RNA", at positions 523 to 769 of the family's 1533-position model. The record is from RNAcentral.